Molecule: long non-coding RNA, 1069 nt
Organism: Apis mellifera (honey bee)
Lineage: Eukaryota; Metazoa; Arthropoda; Insecta; Hymenoptera; Apidae
Exons: 4
Source: RefSeq, a predicted model, not a curated record
AAACGGAAAUGAAGAAACAAAGAAGGAACAAAUAGAGAGAGAAUGAAGAAAAGAAAAAAAGAAAAAAAUGAGGAAAAAAGGAAGAAGAAUAAAAAUGUAAUGCCAAAGCGUUACAUACAGCAGAGUUUGCAUUUUUGAUUUCGUAAACUAAAAAAGAAAAAAUUACAAUCAUUUAAUUAUUCAGAAAAAAAAAAACUGAUUGACGAUAACCUGCCGGAUUAUAAUAGCAUUCUUCUGUUCACCUCCUUUAUGAGAAUAAACAAAGAGGCCGAUGCGCGGUUGCACUGUAGUGUAUAUACUUAAAGUUUAAGGCGAAGUAAAAGUUCAACGCGACACUGUUUUAUUAACAAACAAAAUUGGAAUGCAAAACAUAUAAUCAAGAAAAAAAACCAGGAAGAUUUGGAUCAACCACUUACAUCAGGCAGGUCACACGAGGGAAUCAUUUAGUCUUGGUGAGACUUUAAGGUUGAAGAGAUCGAAAUGUCAGCAGCGUUUCGAAUGAUUUAAGUCAUGAAGAAGAAAUGAAAAAGAAAUGAAGAAGAGAUGCUCCACGAAAUAUGCAGAUCUCCGUGUGAGCUAUUGCUACGGUUGAAAAACUUGGAUGAACUCGUUUCGUGACAGUGAGAUUUGGCAGUGAGAUCUCUGUAGAAUAGAAAUGAAACUCGGUUUAGGAGUUAAUAAUGAAACAAACAGAAGAUUCAGAGAAAAGAUUGCAUCCGUUUUCUUGUUCUAAUUGACGUUUAAAUGCUAUUUAUGUUUUGGAAAUUUGAAUGGAUAUACAAUAGGAAUACUGAAUUGAUAUUGAAAGGUAUUCAUUAUCGACAUAAUGAGAAGUACUAUUAUGUUUACUACAUUCUACGUAAUGAUACGUGAAGAUCUUAAAUCGCGCGUCUUGUCCUCGUUUCAACAUGGUGUAUCAUGAAAAUCACUAGUUUCCUUUUUUGUUAUAAUAAUCAACCGAGUUUGACAUUGACAUUUAACUGACAAUGAUGUAAUUGGUAACUUUUAAAAUUAAGUAAUAGUAAUAUAAAAAUAAUAGGUUUGAGAAUAAUUUGAGGAAAUUCUAAUU